CAACCGUAAACUAUGCUCGCUAGGUGUCAGGCAUGGCGCGACCGUGUCUGGUGCCGCAGGGAAGCCGUGAAGCGAGCCACCUGGGAAGUACGGCCGCAAGGCUGAAACUUAAAGGAAUUGGCGGGGGAGCACAACAACGGGUGGAGCCUGCGGUUUAAUUGGACUCAACGCCGGACAACUCACCGGGGACGACAGCAAUAUGUAGGCCAGGCUGAAGACCUUGCCUGAAUCGCUGAGAGGAGGUGCAUGGCGUAGACGUCU
This 261-nucleotide ribosomal RNA is filed under the name uncultured archaeon. RNAcentral describes it as "partial 16S ribosomal RNA". It matches the Rfam family "Archaeal small subunit ribosomal RNA", at positions 748 to 1009 of the family's 1478-position model. The record is from RNAcentral.